This is a long non-coding RNA of Alligator sinensis (Chinese alligator), 1779 nucleotides long. RefSeq lists it as uncharacterized. NCBI's taxonomy places the organism in Eukaryota, Metazoa, Chordata, Crocodylia, Alligatoridae. The record is from RefSeq and is a predicted model, not a curated record. The transcript is spliced from 3 exons.
GGCAAAAGGCUGCUCCGGAAGUGUUGCUCUGAUUGCUUUUCCUUUUCUCUGGUCUCCAGCUGCAGCCUCGCCAUCUGCUCAUGCUACAAAUGAACAACAAGUUUGGAAAGAAGAUAUGGAACAUCACACUUUCAGAAAAUAGAAGGUUCUUCAGCUGAAACAUGCUUCCCUUGAAACACCAGGGAAUUUGAAGAGAUUGAUCACACCUCUUUCUCUACCGUCAUUUCGCUAGGCCAAACACCUGAUCACCUUUAGUCUGGUUUCAUAACACACUGCGCCCCACUCCGCUCCCAUGGUUACCAGUAUUCAGUAACAUUGCUCCCCCUCAACUCUGCUGCACAAAUGCCAAAGUCAAUUUAGCAGUCAGACUCCAGGAUAAUCCCACGCUGCCAGUGCACUGGGACACAUUCCACCCACCAAUAGCUCAGUUCCCCUCAAGACACCCUUUUUAAAACCCUUUGACUUUUCCUUACUUACUCAAUGGCAUGAAAAAUGGCCAGCACAAGCACCAAUCAAUCACCACAUCACCUCUGACCCUACCAUCAGUCAACCAGGAUUUAACUGGUCACGCCGUUAUUGGGCACUUCUCAACCAUUUUCGAACUGGACAGGGUCACUGUGCCUCAAACCUGUGCCAAUGGGGCCUUCGCAAUGACAACAAAUGCCCUCGCAGACAAAUGCAAGCCAUGUCCCAUAUUGCUGACUUGUGUCCAUUUACAAUGCUACCUUAGGAAAAACUCUCUCGUAAGGAGGGUAGUAAAACACUGGAACAGGUUACCCAGAGAGGUGGUGGAACCUCCAUCCUUGGGGGUUUUUAGGACCCGACUAGACAAAGCCUCGGCUGGGAUGAUCUACUUGGGGAUGGGGAAUGGACCAGAUGACCUCCUGAAGUCCCUUCCAACCUUAAUUUUCUAUGAUUCCCCCUAGAGCAAUAAAUAACACGAGCUAAAUGCUAUAAUGUAACCUUUUUUUAUUUAUUCAUAAUUAAGAAGCAUGUGCCCUCCUUUCUGCUCUAGUACACAGACAAUAGAUUAAAUGAACAGCAGCCAAUGAUUAUAUUGUACAGUAAACAGAAAUCAUAGGCCUCUCCAUUCAAGCAUCAGCUAUUACAAUUUUCCUCAAAGGUGAGCAUGCCAAGGCAAAUGCUGUUAAGGCUCUUUAAUGUUCCUUUAUGGCACAUACAAACAACCUCUAUAUCCCCCUCACCUCCAAAUAUUUUCUUUGCUUGUUUUUCACAUGGAAACAUCAACCAUAACAGCCUUUUUGCCAGAAACCCUUUAAAAGACCUUUAAGGGACAUGGAAGAUCUCACACAGCUUAAAUGGCAGUUCAUCCAACUUCCAACUGAGAGGGAGGGGGCAAUAAGUCCUCAGUUAAACCCUUUCACUCUUAAGUUAAGUGACACUCCUUUUUUUUUUUUUUUUUUCUCUUUUAUUGAUUAUUACUCUCUUUUCUGCUCAUCACCCUUCCUCUUCCCAGUCCAGCUAAAUUCUUUGGUUUCAGUCCUAAACGCUCCGAUCAUUCCCGACCUCAAUCCCUUCAUACUUAACUUCAGUACAGGUACACCCCUGGGAAAAAUGUUUUGGACCCACUCCCAUCCAUGCACUUCAACCAGGGUGCAGGCCCACUGAAAUAAAAUAAAUUACUAGCAUACAUUAAGAGCCCUUCACAUACUCAAACUCAAGUGUUUUGCUGCAUCAGGCCAUAGCUGCAUUAGCCUUUUUUAUUAUAACAUUUACAAAAAGCAUCGUAUUACUGUUCUUAAAAAUGGUCUUUAACAA